GGGAAGGUUUUUAUUCAAGUGAUUCAAGAGGUUCGAAACAUAAAAUCUUUAAGGUAGUUUACUCUCGAAACAAGUAGCCUUGACAUUGCACAUAAUAUAUCUAAGAAAGGGACCAACUCAUGCAUACAAUGCUCAAUCUCCAUUGUCCUACCCUUUUCCCAAACAUACAAUUACACAAUCUUUCCCCAAUGUCAAGCUCAACUCACAUCUCUCACCAAAAGAUCUCAAGAACACCCUGCACACAAAACUCUUU
This 253-nucleotide long non-coding RNA is filed under the name Brassica napus (rape). RNAcentral describes it as "long non-coding RNA (BNAP_LNC009562)". The record is from RNAcentral. Lineage: Eukaryota; Viridiplantae; Streptophyta; Magnoliopsida; Brassicales; Brassicaceae.